This 1533-nucleotide long non-coding RNA is filed under the name Homo sapiens (human). RNAcentral's name for it is "TRD antisense RNA 1, transcript variant 3 (TRD-AS1)". Lineage: Eukaryota; Metazoa; Chordata; Mammalia; Primates; Hominidae. The record is from RNAcentral.
UUGAGUGAUCACAGUUUUUGAGAAUCAUGAUGAGGCAUUAAAGAAGAGGAGGAGUGUCUCAAGGGAGGUGAGCUGGAGGUGAUGCAAGCCUCAGACUCAGGGCUGGGACCCUUGGGACUCAAAAGAGAGAAAAGGUGGAGAAAAGAGAAAGCUACUAUUUUCUUCAUUUUGCCCCUGCUAACAUCCAAUGCACUUAGGAGCCUCGAUGUCUGCUCUCCAAGAGAUGUCUGAUCUGAAAGCAUGUUGUGGUCCGCUACACACAAGAGCAAAAGAAGAGCAGGAAGGAGCUCAGUGCCAAGACCAUAGCCACAGGAAGAAAACCAGCUCUUAGGGCUGCAGCUCUAAAGACAGGCCAGGUCAUUACAGGAACGUCUGCUCCCUUAGCCUUGCCAGACAGAGGAGGGUUAAGAAAGGAACUGCUGACCCUGAUAUGCAAACUGCCACGAGUGCUUCCUGCCUUUCUAUCAGCAUCAGAUGGCUAGCGAUGGAUGGCUGUAAGAUUGAUGUAAUUAACAUUUUAUUUUCAGGGCCACAGUGCUGGUUGGGUGCACCAGACAAAUCAACCAACAGAUUAAAGAGUGAUGGAGAAAGCUGUGUUUUGGGCCUCAUUUGGGAACAGAAUGGAAGAGCUGAGGGUGGAAGGGACCUCAGCAAGUCUUCUGAUCCAUGUUUCAACCUUCAUUUCCCCGAUAACCUCAAGGAGAGAGUUGCUUUUCCUGUUCUUCAAAUGAGUUCCUUGAAUUCACACUCUAUUUCUUUGAAUUUGCACAGACUGUUGAGGAACAGGCGGCAGGGUCACUCUACCUCUGCUCAGACAAGCCUGGAAAAGAAAAAUUUUACAUAGAAGACUGAGCUGGAAGAGGCCUGGGAACUUGGGAAUUCCCACUUCCACACUGCCCACUCUAGUUCUCAAGAGGCGGCAGCUAUGCUGCAGUACAGACCACUGAAUUUAGAUUCAGGAAUCUGGGUUUAUAUCUCACUCCUCCUCUUACUUGCAAGUCACUUACCACACCAGGCCUCGGUUUCCUGGACAAUAAAAUGGGGAUAACGUUGCCCCAUGUGGUUGUUGGUGGUCAUGAAAUUAUGCACACGAGCACGCCUUGUAAUCUAGGUUAGACCUGCACUAACCUAGAUUAGCUGACCAGGGUGGAAGGUGGGAGGGGCAGGCUUCAGUGUGUGACUUACCUAGAGGCCAAGGGGAGUCACCAUGGAUAGGGCAGCACUUGUAAGUCCUCUGCUCUCUCAAUGUGGCUCUGAGAAUCUCCAGGAAGAACUGGCUGGUUGAAUUCUCAACUCUACCAAGAAAGGUGUGCUGGAGACCAGGGUCAUAGACGUCUCCUUGUUGAUGUACGAAAAUCAGGAAGCCGUCUCGGGUCCUCUUUACCAGGACAUAGUGUAAUUAUUCAUCUUCUUCCCUGUCAGUUGGCACUGGAAAAUUUUGCUUCUUCUAAAAGGAACAAAUAUCUCUAGCUCUUGUUGCUCCAACAAGGUGUCUGGCUUGAUUCCUAAAGUAAAUAAAUAAAUAAACAAAUA